RNAcentral lists this ribosomal RNA (821 nucleotides) under Bacillus aerophilus. RNAcentral describes it as "bacterial SSU rRNA". It matches the Rfam family "Bacterial small subunit ribosomal RNA", at positions 131 to 937 of the family's 1533-position model. The record is from RNAcentral. Lineage: Bacteria; Bacillati; Bacillota; Bacilli; Caryophanales; Bacillaceae.
UGUAAGACUGGGAUAACUCCGGGAAACCGGAGCUAAUACCGGAUAGUUCCUUGAACCGCAUGGUUCAAGGAUGAAAGACGGUUUCGGCUGUCACUUACAGAUGGACCCGCGGCGCAUUAGCUAGUUGGUGAGGUAACGGCUCACCAAGGCGACGAUGCGUAGCCGACCUGAGAGGGUGAUCGGCCACACUGGGACUGAGACACGGCCCAGACUCCUACGGGAGGCAGCAGUAGGGAAUCUUCCGCAAUGGACGAAAGUCUGACGGAGCAACGCCGCGUGAGUGAUGAAGGUUUUCGGAUCGUAAAGCUCUGUUGUUAGGGAAGAACAAGUGCAAGAGUAACUGCUUGCACCUUGACGGUACCUAACCAGAAAGCCACGGCUAACUACGUGCCAGCAGCCGCGGUAAUACGUAGGUGGCAAGCGUUGUCCGGAAUUAUUGGGCGUAAAGGGCUCGCAGGCGGUUUCUUAAGUCUGAUGUGAAAGCCCCCGGCUCAACCGGGGAGGGUCAUUGGAAACUGGGAAACUUGAGUGCAGAAGAGGAGAGUGGAAUUCCACGUGUAGCGGUGAAAUGCGUAGAGAUGUGGAGGAACACCAGUGGCGAAGGCGACUCUCUGGUCUGUAACUGACGCUGAGGAGCGAAAGCGUGGGGAGCGAACAGGAUUAGAUACCCUGGUAGUCCACGCCGUAAACGAUGAGUGCUAAGUGUUAGGGGGUUUCCGCCCCUUAGUGCUGCAGCUAACGCAUUAAGCACUCCGCCUGGGGAGUACGGUCGCAAGACUGAAACUCAAAGGAAUUGACGGGGGCCCGCACAAGCGGUGGAG